GGAAGCGGGGAUGACGUCAAGUCCUCAUGGCCCUUACAUCCCGGGCUACACACGUGCUACAAUGGCAGGUACAGAGGGCUGCGAAGCCGCGAGGUGGAGCGAAUCCCAGAAAACCUGUCUCAGUCCGGAUUGAAGUCUGCAACUCGACUUCAUGAAGGCGGAAUCGCUAGUAACCACGAAUCAGCAGGUCGCGGUGAAUACGUUCCCGGGCCUU
RNAcentral lists this ribosomal RNA (214 nucleotides) under uncultured Latescibacterota bacterium. Its description in RNAcentral is "uncultured Latescibacteria bacterium partial 16S ribosomal RNA". It matches the Rfam family "Bacterial small subunit ribosomal RNA", at positions 1169 to 1382 of the family's 1533-position model. Lineage: Bacteria; Pseudomonadati; Candidatus Latescibacterota. The record is from RNAcentral.